Molecule: non-coding RNA, 533 nt
Organism: Mus caroli (Ryukyu mouse)
Lineage: Eukaryota; Metazoa; Chordata; Mammalia; Rodentia; Muridae
Source: RefSeq, a predicted model, not a curated record
GGUCAUUAUCUUCAUAUGACUUUCUUCACACACUUCAAUAUGGUUUGAAGCCACAAAGUAAUGGGGUGGACACACCAUGAACUGUGCUCGCUCCUCUUCAGCUACAAUGAUCAUCUAUUUACACACAGUGUUGAGCUCCUGGACUGGAGGAAGUGCUUAAUGAGACUGGGUAAAACUUUUCUUUUCCUUCCUUCUUGGGUGUUUUGGAAGAACAUUAUAAUAGAGCCUUGCCAGAGAAAAUACAUUUUUCUUCCCUAAAACCUUCCUGAGGACCAGGAUAUUUCCUACAAGAGUUGGCUAAACGAACUUAGUGGAUACAAACAGGGGUGAGACCAGGGCAAUUCAAAAUUGAAGAUGGUUGAUUACAGACUGAGAAUGGAGAAAAUCUCAGCACCAUUUUAGGAAGUAAAUUUAAUAGAGGAGAAGAUGUCCUAGGUAAUCAAUUGCCUGCCUUGAGAGCAUCAAGAUCUGAGUGUGAUCCCCCGAACCAACAUUUCAAAAGCCUGGCAUAGCAGACUACAUUGUAAUGUCCC